RNAcentral lists this ribosomal RNA (599 nucleotides) under Salmonella enterica subsp. enterica serovar Heidelberg. RNAcentral describes it as "bacterial SSU rRNA". It matches the Rfam family "Bacterial small subunit ribosomal RNA", at positions 1 to 589 of the family's 1533-position model. Lineage: Bacteria; Pseudomonadati; Pseudomonadota; Gammaproteobacteria; Enterobacterales; Enterobacteriaceae. The record is from RNAcentral. RNAcentral also lists the same sequence under 5 other names.
AAAUUGAAGAGUUUGAUCAUGGCUCAGAUUGAACGCUGGCGGCAGGCCUAACACAUGCAAGUCGAACGGUAACAGGAAGCAGCUUGCUGCUUCGCUGACGAGUGGCGGACGGGUGAGUAAUGUCUGGGAAACUGCCUGAUGGAGGGGGAUAACUACUGGAAACGGUGGCUAAUACCGCAUAACGUCGCAAGACCAAAGAGGGGGACCUUCGGGCCUCUUGCCAUCAGAUGUGCCCAGAUGGGAUUAGCUUGUUGGUGAGGUAACGGCUCACCAAGGCGACGAUCCCUAGCUGGUCUGAGAGGAUGACCAGCCACACUGGAACUGAGACACGGUCCAGACUCCUACGGGAGGCAGCAGUGGGGAAUAUUGCACAAUGGGCGCAAGCCUGAUGCAGCCAUGCCGCGUGUAUGAAGAAGGCCUUCGGGUUGUAAAGUACUUUCAGCGGGGAGGAAGGUGUUGUGGUUAAUAACCACAGCAAUUGACGUUACCCGCAGAAGAAGCACCGGCUAACUCCGUGCCAGCAGCCGCGGUAAUACGGAGGGUGCAAGCGUUAAUCGGAAUUACUGGGCGUAAAGCGCACGCAGGCGGUCUGUCAAGUC